GUGAGGAAUAUUGCGCAAUGGAGGCAACUCUGACGCAGCCAUGCCGCGUGCAGGAAGAAGGCGCUACGCGUUGUAAACUGCUUUUAUCCGGGAAGAAACCCCAGGACGUGUCCUGGGUUGACGGUACCGGAGGAAUAAGCACCGGCUAACUUCGUGCCAGCAGCCGCGGUAAUACGAAGGGUGCAAGCGUUAUCCGGAUUCAUUGGGUUUAAAGGGUGCGUAGGCGGAGCGUUAAGUCAGUGGUGAAAUCCUGCAGCUCAACUGUAGACUUGCCAUUGAUACUGGCGCUCUUGAGUGCGCUUGAAGUGGGCGGAAUGUGCCGUGUAGCGGUGAAAUGCUUAGAUAUGGCACAGAACACCAAUUGCGAAGGCAGCUCACUAAGGCGAUACUGACGCUGAGGCACGAAAGCGUGGGGAUCGAACAGGAUUAGAUACCCCAGUAGUCC
Molecule: ribosomal RNA, 445 nt
Filed under: uncultured bacterium
Lineage: Bacteria
Description: bacterial SSU rRNA
Rfam family: Bacterial small subunit ribosomal RNA
Source: RNAcentral